Long non-coding RNA from Aethina tumida (small hive beetle), 621 nucleotides. RefSeq lists it as uncharacterized. Lineage: Eukaryota; Metazoa; Arthropoda; Insecta; Coleoptera; Nitidulidae. The record is from RefSeq and is a predicted model, not a curated record. The transcript has 2 exons.
UUAAGCACAACAAAAUGCGUAGUUUCAUGUUCGUAAAAGAUAUAAAGUAAACAUCAAUAGUGUGAUGCGGUGCAUAAUCUACCGUAUUUAUCAGAUUCAACUAUAGCAUACAAAUGGAUUUAAAACGUAUAUUCUCGUGUAAAUCAGAACACGCGCCGAGAGGUAUCCCAAACCAUGACCAAAAAUUGAUGAAGAUAUUAAAAAGGCUAAUGAUCAAUUACGCAUUCCGCAAACAUUUGUAUCUAUUCAAAAUCCAACUACAAAAAUAGUUUUUGCGGUCCUCUUGUUAGUUUUGGUUACUGGAAAUUGCCAAGAUAUCCUGAAGGUACUAUUCGGAGACUACAAUAGAAAAUCCGCCAGAGCUCCCUCAAGAAAUGACGAAGGCUACACGAGAUACAAGGGUAUCUGCAGACUACACGCCCUCAGUUACAAUCCAACUCCUGGAAAAAUUAUUUGUCCGUGGUGAUGAUUUUUGUAAAUGCUGUUGAAUAUUCUGAGUGAAUCUACAACAAUGGAACUAAUCACUGUGUAUAAAAAUGGUUUUUUUAUACACAAGUGCGUGUAAGAUAUAUCAAUUGUUAAUCUAAGACGGUUAUAAUUAAUACAUCACAUUGUAUUAUA